Molecule: long non-coding RNA, 440 nt
Organism: Helianthus annuus (common sunflower)
Lineage: Eukaryota; Viridiplantae; Streptophyta; Magnoliopsida; Asterales; Asteraceae
Exons: 2
Source: RefSeq, a predicted model, not a curated record
GUCUCCCACACAAUCACGAACAAAAUCCUCGCACAGAGAGAAGAAAAUAAUGAACGGCGGCGGCUUUGCAGGUUGGAAGUCACGUUGUCGUCGCCUGAAUCGUUAACUUUGGGAGCACAAUCGUCUUCUUUUGAAGUUCAAUCGUCCUUUGGAAUAUGAUUUUACAACCGUUUCCUUUUUUUUCCUCUGUCAUAGACGAUUACUCAUCUGCGCUUCUGGCUUCUGGCUUCAUCGAUUUAAUAAGUUUACUUAAAAAUCCUGGAACUGAUUGUGCUGAUGAGCAUUUCAUGGAAUACAUACGGACACUUGCAAUAGUAUCUUAAGUCUUAAGGUAUUAUUUUCUUGUAUCUUUUGUGUUAAUUUUUUCAAUUAUAUAAAUGUUCACAGCGAGUACAUUACUCUUUUUUUUUACAUCAAAACGACCCUAAGGUCUCAAUUUA